UACGGGGGGGGCAAGCGUUGUUCGGAAUUACUGGGCGUAAAGGGCGCGUAGGCGGUUUGCUAAGUUGAAUGUGAAAACUCUGGGCUUAACCCAGAGCCUGCAUUCAAUACUGGCAGGCUAGAGUUCUGGAGGGGAUAGCGGAAUUCCUGGUGUAGCGGUGAAAUGCGUAGAUAUCAGGAGGAAGACCGGUGGCGAAGGCGGCCUGCUGGGCAGUUACUGACACUGAUGCGCGACAGCGUGGGGAGCAAACAGG
Molecule: ribosomal RNA, 253 nt
Filed under: uncultured bacterium
Lineage: Bacteria
Description: partial 16S ribosomal RNA
Rfam family: Bacterial small subunit ribosomal RNA
Source: RNAcentral